GAUGAACGCUAGCUACAGGCUUAACACAUGCAAGUCGAGGGGCAGCACAGUGUAGCAAUACACGGGUGGCGACCGGCGCACGGGUGCGUAACGCGUAUCCAACUUUCCCGUUACUCUCGGAUAGCCUUCCGAAAGGGAGAUUAAUACGAGAUGGUGUUCUAGUUUCGCAUGUUAUUAGAACUAAAGAUUCAUCGGUAACGGAUAGGGAUGCGUGACAUUAGAUAGUUGGCGGGGUAACGGCCCACCAAGUCUACGAUGUCUAGGGGUUCUGAGAGGAAGGUCCCCCACACUGGAACUGAGACACGGUCCAGACUCCUACGGGAGGCAGCAGUGAGGAAUAUUGGUCAAUGGGCGCAGGCCUGAACCAGCCAAGUAGCGUGAAGGAUGAAGGUUCUAUGGAUUGUAAACUUCUUUUAUACGGGAAUAACAUCACCUACGUGUAGGUGCCUGCAUGUACCGUAUGAAUAAGCAUCGGCUAAUUCCGUGCCAGCAGCCG
RNAcentral lists this ribosomal RNA (496 nucleotides) under uncultured bacterium. RNAcentral's name for it is "bacterial SSU rRNA". It matches the Rfam family "Bacterial small subunit ribosomal RNA", at positions 28 to 517 of the family's 1533-position model. The record is from RNAcentral.